RNAcentral lists this unclassified non-coding RNA (296 nucleotides) under plant metagenome. Its description in RNAcentral is "partial contains 5.8S ribosomal RNA, internal transcribed spacer 2, and large subunit ribosomal RNA". The stretch from base 1 to 105 matches the Rfam family "5.8S ribosomal RNA", at positions 50 to 154 of the family's 154-position model. The record is from RNAcentral.
GAAAUGCGAUAAGUAAUGUGAAUUGCAGAAUUCCGUGAAUCAUCGAAUCUUUGAACGCACAUUGCGCCCGGUGGCAUUCCGCCGGGCACGCCUGUCCGAGCGUCAUUGCAACAAUCAAGCCUGGCUUGGUGUUGGGGGCCUGUCGCGCCUGGCGCGACCCCCCCGGAACCCGUUGGCGGUGGCUCUCUGCCCCGAUCGUCGCGCAUGUUACGACGGUACGGAGGGCCGCCCGCCGAACCCCCCCACGACGCGAAGUUUGACCUCGGAUCAGGCGGGGAUACCCGCUGAACUUAAGC